Molecule: ribosomal RNA, 176 nt
Filed under: uncultured bacterium
Lineage: Bacteria
Description: partial 16S ribosomal RNA
Rfam family: Bacterial small subunit ribosomal RNA
Source: RNAcentral
CCUGCACGAAGCCGGAGUUGCUAGUAAUCGCGAAUCAGAAUGUCGCGGUGAAUGCGUUCCCGGGUCUUGUACACACCGCCCGUCACACCAUGGAAGUUGGGGGUGCCCAAAGCCGGCAAGCAAAUAUGCUGUCUAAGGCAAAACCAAUGACUGGGGUGAAGUCGUAACAAGGUAUC